Molecule: long non-coding RNA, 409 nt
Filed under: Olea europaea subsp. europaea
Lineage: Eukaryota; Viridiplantae; Streptophyta; Magnoliopsida; Lamiales; Oleaceae
Source: RNAcentral
UAUCUAAACUUAUUUUUGGAGAAAUUUGCUUCUCUUUGAUGGAAGUUUGAUUUUCCCAGAAUAUAUCCUAACUUUUGGCCUAAUUCUUCUUCUGAUGAUCGAUUCAACCUCUUAUAAAAAAGAUAUACCUUGGUUAUUUUUCAUCUCUUCAACAAGUUUAGUAAUGAGCAUAACGGCCCUAUUGUUCCAAUGGAGAUAAGAAUCCAUGAUUAGCUUUUCGGGAAAUUUCCAAACGGGAUGUAAAAAUACAUUGGUAGGGGAGCGUUUCGCCUUAGAAAGAAGCCUCCGCGCGAGCAGUGGUAGACGAAGCGGAAGCGAGAAUGUCGGCUUGAGUAACGCAAAUAUGCAAGCAGAGAACGUAAUUACCUACGACAGGGAACACGGGUAGGGAAAAUGCUGACAGGCUGUG